RNAcentral lists this long non-coding RNA (389 nucleotides) under Mytilus galloprovincialis (Mediterranean mussel). The record is from RNAcentral. Lineage: Eukaryota; Metazoa; Mollusca; Bivalvia; Mytilida; Mytilidae.
GUCAGAAGAUGUAACCAAAGAAAAUAAACAAAAUGACAAUAAUACAUAAAUAACAACAGACUACUAGCAGUUAACUGACAUGCCAGCUCCAGACUUCAACUAAACUGACUGAAAGAUUAUGAUUUCAUCAUAUGAACAUCAGGCACAAUCCUUCCCGUUAGGGGUUUAGUAUCAUACCAUCAUAAAAUAUAUGAGAAGAACAUAACCCGUGUCAUGCCAACAACUGUUUUUAGAAUAAAUGUGUUUAGUUCCGAUGCAAAGACCUUAUCAAUGACUCAAUAUUAACGCCAAAAUAUGCAAUCUUUAAUGACUUGACAACAGUAUCGUAAUUAUAUCCCUUCUUAAUAAGUCUAUUCAAAGGUUUUGUAAGUUUCUGAGGUGAAUACUGA